RNAcentral lists this unclassified non-coding RNA (374 nucleotides) under Rhopalosiphum maidis (corn leaf aphid). RNAcentral describes it as "uncharacterized LOC113556751, transcript variant X1". The record is from RNAcentral. Lineage: Eukaryota; Metazoa; Arthropoda; Insecta; Hemiptera; Aphididae.
UUCAGUCGUCUUUCAGUCGCCGAACCAUCAUGCGUGACAUUUAAAAUAAAAUAAAUAUAAUGUUUAAACUUUUUACAAAUAAUCGUAGAAAUAUGAUCGAGAACGAGAAGUCAAUUUGGUGUAUCAGUAUCCGCUUUUAUUAACAGACUAACUAUAAUGGAACAUGUUUACAUUUUAAACCAAUAUAGGAUCUUUGUUAGCAGGAAGUCGUCUCAACAUAAUAGAUGAAAACCAUUAUGCUGGUAGAGUAAAUUGUAUAAUAUCAAAAAAUGUCGUUAUAACAAAUAAUGGAACAUACCAUCUAAUUGGGCCAAUUGUUAAAGGAUCUCCAGAUAAUUUAUAUCGCGCGUGUUUACACAUUAAUGGUGUUCCAA